UCACAUUCUACAAUCAAAUUGUACUCGGAACUACAAGAUAUGAGAUAAAAGUUAGUAAAUCACUCCAUUUUUGUCCAACGUGCCGUCACGAACCGGUUUUUUCUAAAAAGUUAUUAUAAACCGGAUUAAAGUUCUUCAAAAUGCGUGAAAUAGUGCACGUUCAAGCUGGGCAAUGUGGAAACCAAAUAGGAUCCAAGUUUUGGGAGAUAAUUUCGGACGAACACGGCGUCGACCCCAACGGUUAUUACAAAGGGGAGAGCGACUUACAACUCGAAAGAAUAAGCGUUUACUACAAUGAAGCUGGUACAGGUAAAUAUGUACCCCGUGCGGUGUUGGUGGACUUGGAACCCGGCACCAUGGACUCAGUCAGGUCCGGGGAGUACGGACAGCUGUUCAGACCAGAUAACUUCGUGUUCGGACAGAGUGGUGCUGGUAACAACUGGGCGAAGGGUCACUACACAGAGGGCGCUGAGCUCGUCGACGCUGUCAUGGAUGUCAUCAGGAAGGAGGCGGAAGGCUGUGACUGUUUACAAGGAUUCCAGUUAACCCACUCCCUAGGCGGUGGUACAGGAUCUGGCAUGGGUACUCUACUGCUCAGCAAAAUCCGUGAAGAGUUCCCAGAUAGAAUUAUGAAUACUUUCAGUGUGGUUCCUUCUCCUAAGGUAAGCGAAGUGGUGCUGGAGCCGUACAACGCGACGCUGUCGGUGCAUCAGCUCGUAGAGAACACCGACAUGUCAUUCUGUAUCGACAACGAGGCGCUCUAUAACAUAUGUUUCCGCACGCUCAAGCUAGCCAGCCCCAGCUACGGAGACCUUAAUCAUUUGAUUUCGCUCACAAUGUCCGGAGUGACCACAUGCCUACGUUUCCCGGGACAACUGAACGCCGACCUCAGGAAGUUGGCUGUCAACAUGGUGCCCUUCCCUAGGUUACACUUCUUCAUGCCAGGUUUCGCUCCGUUAACAGCAAGAAAUGCCUUCAACUUCCGCGCACAAUCUGUACCAGAACUAAUGAGCCAGAUGUUCAACUCGGGUAACAUGAUGACGGCCGCGGACCCGCGUCACGGCCGCUACCUGACUGUGGCCACCAUCUUCAGAGGCAGGAUGUCCAUGAAGGAGGUCGAUGAACAGAUACUGGCUAUACAGAAUAAGAAUUCUAGCUAUUUCGUAGAAUGGAUCCCUAACAACCUGAAGGUGGCAGUGUGUGACAUUCCGCCGCGAGGGCUGAAGAUGUCGGCCACGUUCAUCGGCAACAGCACGGCCAUACAGGAGAUAUUCAAGCGCAUCUCCGAGCAGUUCACCGCCAUGUUCAGGAGAAAAGCUUUCCUCCACUGGUACACGGGCGAGGGCAUGGACGAGAUGGAGUUCACAGAGGCAGCCAGCAACAUGGCGGAUCUUAUCUCCGAAUAUCAACAGUAUCAGGAGGCAAGCGUGGAUGAUGAUGACGUGUUUGAUGAAGAAGAAGAGGCUCCCGAGGAGUAUAGGAUGGAACCCACCAAUAACACCAUGGAAAUGAUAUAAAAAACUAAAACUAAAAUAAAAACAACGGCAUUUUUACUAUUUUUAGUUUAUAUAUUAUCUUUUAUUUUUUUUAUCACCAUUUAUUUUCGUUUUAGUUGUAAGUAAUCGUGUUUUUUUAUUAUUACAAUUUUAAAAUUCCAAUUUGUGUUUGUUUAAAAAUCCGUGUUUGUGUUGUUUUUAAUUUAAAAUUGCGUUUUUUUUAAUUUGCCAGCAAUGCAUAAAAAAAUUGUCUGUGUAAAAAGCAGGGCUUUUUACUUUAUUUUUUAUUUUAGAAAAAAAAAUCUUGAUUAAUAGCAUGACAAACGAAAAAACGCUUUUUUAAAUUAAAAAAAAAUUAAUUGAAUUGCCUAAUUGUUAAAUGUAUCAAUCAGUAUGUCAAUUAAUGUGAUUUUUCAUAUCAUUAAUGAAAAGUGCUUGUAGUUCACAUAAGUGUUUCUAGAGCUUUCAAAUAAAUAUUUAUACAAAGUACAUACAAAACAAUUUUAAUUAUAUGUGAGUGAUUUCCAAAGAUAGCGAUCGUAGAAGCUUGAGAGGUCUAAAAUUAACAAAAACUGCAGUUCUCAUUGUGUAUUUUUGAUAUUAAGGCCACUAAAUGGUGAAGGAAAACAUCUUGAGGAAACCUGGACUAUAAAGUCUGAAAUUGUCAAUCCGCUGUGAGCAAGCGUGGUGAUUAACGCUCAUUCCUUCUUUGUAUGAGAAGAUGCUUAAAUUCCAAAGAAAACUCACUUUUAAUUUAAUAAUUUCUUGUAUUUCCUUUUCAAUUUUAAUUACUAUUAAUAUUAUUUUCAUAUUAGAUCAAGCUUUAAAUUGAAAAUUAUGUAGCGGUUUUUUAAAUCAAUUUAAAAAUCCGUCUUUUUUUUUAAACCGUUUUUAAGCCAUUUUUAAAUUAUAAUGUUAAUUAUUAAGCAUACGUUUGUUGAGCUGUGUUAAGCAUUAAAAUGACGCAGGAAUGUUAUCAUUUAUUAUUUUUGAAAAAUAAAUCAUAUAAAUUGUGUAAAA
RNAcentral lists this unclassified non-coding RNA (2516 nucleotides) under Helicoverpa zea (corn earworm). RNAcentral's name for it is "tubulin beta chain-like, transcript variant X3". Lineage: Eukaryota; Metazoa; Arthropoda; Insecta; Lepidoptera; Noctuidae. The record is from RNAcentral.